This 513-nucleotide unclassified non-coding RNA is filed under the name Xylella fastidiosa. Its description in RNAcentral is "16S-23S ribosomal RNA intergenic spacer". The stretch from base 138 to 210 matches the Rfam family "tRNA". Lineage: Bacteria; Pseudomonadati; Pseudomonadota; Gammaproteobacteria; Lysobacterales; Lysobacteraceae. The record is from RNAcentral.
UAUCGGAAGGUGCGGCUGGAUCACCUCCUUUUGAGUAUGGUGAAUAUAAUUGUCUUAUCAGGCGUCCUCACAAGUUACUUGCAUUCAGGGUUUGAUGUUGGCAUAGGUUUGGGUUUAUGUUGGCGAUUUUUGUUCUGGGGGCCUUAGCUCAGCUGGUAGAGCACCUGCUUUGCAAGCAGGGGGUCGUCGGUUCGAUCCCGACAGGCUCCACCAUGAAAGUAUUUAUGGGUCUGUAGCUCAGGUGGUUAGAGCGCACCCCUGAUAAGGGUGGGGUCGGUGGUUCGAGUCCUCCCAGACCCACCAAUGUUAUAUCAAUUAUUCUGAAUGUGGUUUGCGCAUUUUUUAUGCUUAUCAGCCUUGGAGCUGUGAAGCGUUCUUUUAUAAUUUGAUGAUGUAGCAAGCGUUUGAACUUUUUAUUAAUAAUUUCUCAUUGGAAGCCUUAAGUGACAAUGUUUAUCCAUUGUCUUGUAGAUUUUGAGGCGACUUUGGGUUAUAUGGUCAAGCGAAUAAGCG